RNAcentral lists this ribosomal RNA (579 nucleotides) under uncultured fungus. Its description in RNAcentral is "SSU rRNA". It matches the Rfam family "Eukaryotic small subunit ribosomal RNA", at positions 244 to 826 of the family's 1831-position model. Lineage: Eukaryota; Fungi. The record is from RNAcentral.
UUGGUGUUCAUAAUAACUUAACGAAUCGCAUGGCCUUUGCCGGGCGAUGGUUCAUUCAAAUUUCUGCCCUAUCAACUUUCGAUGGUAGGAUAGUGGCCUACCAUGGUUUCAACGGGUAACGGGGAAUUAGGGUUCUAUUCCGGAGAGGGAGCUGAGAAACGGUGCACAUCCAAGGAAGGCAGCAGGCGCGCAAAUUACCCAAUCCCGACACGGGGAGGUAGUGACAAUAAAUACUGAUACAGGGCUCUUUUGGGUCUUGUAAUUGGAAUGAGUACAAUUUAAAUCCCUUAACGAGGAACAAUUGGAGGGCAAGUCUGGUUGCCAGCAGCCGGGUAAUUCCAGCUCCAAUAGCGUAUAUUAAAGUUGUUGCAGUUAAAAAAGCUCGUAGUUGAACCUUGAGCCCUUGGCUGGCCGGGUUCCGCCUCACCGGUGCACCUUGGUCCGGCCGGGUUUUUCCUUCUGGGGAGCCGCAUGCCUUCACUGGGUGUGUCGGGGAACCAGGACUUUUACUUUGAAAAAAUCGAGAGUGUUCAAAGCAGGCCUAUGCUCGAAUACAUUAGCAUGGAAUAAUAGAAUAGG